CUGCUGCCUUCCGUAGGAGUUUGGGCUUUGUCUCAGUCCCAAUGUGGCCGUCCACCCUCUCAGGCCGGCUACUGAUCGCUGCCUUGGUGGGCCGUUACCCCGCCAACUAGCUAAUCAGACGCGGAUCCAUCGUAUACCACCGGAGUUUUUCACACUGCCCCAUGCGGAGCCGUGCGCUUAUGCGGUAUUAGCACCUAUUUCUAAGUGUUAUCCCCCGGUAUACGGCAGGUUAUCCACGCGUUACUCACCCGUCCGCCA
Molecule: ribosomal RNA, 258 nt
Filed under: uncultured bacterium
Lineage: Bacteria
Description: partial 16S ribosomal RNA
Source: RNAcentral